CCUACGGGUGGCAGCAGUGAGGAAUAUUGGUCAAUGGGCGGAAGCCUGAACCAGCCAAGUAGCGUGCGGGAAGAAGGCCCUACGGGUCGUAAACCGCUUUUGCACGGGAAUAACAGACUCCACGUGUGGAGGUCUGCAAGUACCGGGAGAAUAAGGGCCGGCUAAUUCCGUGCCAGCAGCCGCGGUACCACGGAGGGUCCGAGCGUUAUCCGGAUUGAUUGGGCUUAAAGGGAGCGUAGGCGGGCGUUCAAGUCAGCUGUAAAAUCGCGCGGCUCAGCCGCGCCCCGCAGUUGAAACUGGACGCCUUGAGUUCGUAACAGGCAGGCGGAAUUCGUGGUGUAGCGGUGAAAUGCAUAGAUAUCACGAGGAACCCCGAUUGCGAAGGCAGCCUGCCGGGGUUCGACUGACGCUGAGGCUCGAAGGUGCGGGUAUCAAACAGGAUUAGAUACCCCUGUAGUC
RNAcentral lists this ribosomal RNA (459 nucleotides) under uncultured bacterium. RNAcentral's name for it is "partial 16S ribosomal RNA". It matches the Rfam family "Bacterial small subunit ribosomal RNA", at positions 338 to 795 of the family's 1533-position model. The record is from RNAcentral.